GCAACAUUGAUUUAAAUAAUCCAAAAAAAAAACAAGAAAAGUUACAAUCUCGAUCGUCUUAGACAUAAUUUGAAAACCUAGCAGAACAUCUGCUUGCGAUGCAAAAGAAAGCUCUAAAAAAUAAAUGGCUAUGUAAAAAAGAUAAACCUAAAAGAAACAAAAGGAAAUCAAUCCUCCAUAGCCAAUCGGUGCCGUAUAUGUUUAGACGCUUGGUAUGCAAGUAACCAUAGUAUGCGGAUUUGGCCUUCUCUUUGACUAGGUCACCAAAGUAUGACGAUUUUGCAUUCUUGUUGAUAGGGCCAUCAUAGAAUGGCGAUCUGGGAUCCUCGAUGCCUUCAGGUCGCCAUCGAUUCGUAGCCUCUGAAGCUCCCACAAAAAGCA
This is an RNA transcript of Arabidopsis thaliana (thale cress), 381 nucleotides long. RefSeq lists it as uncharacterized. The transcript has a single exon. Lineage: Eukaryota; Viridiplantae; Streptophyta; Magnoliopsida; Brassicales; Brassicaceae. The record is from RefSeq.